UUCCGGUUGAUCCUGCCGCCGGGCACCGCUAUUGGAGUUCGCUUAAGCCAUGCGAGUCGAGAGGGGUAAGCCCUCGGCGCACUGCUCAGUAACACGCGGACAAUCUGCCCUCAAGACGGGGAUAUUCCCGGGAAACUGGGGCUAAUACCCGAUAGACCUGAGAUGAUGGAAGGCUCCCAGGUCGAAAUCCUCCGGGGCUUGAGGAUGGGUCUGCGGCCUAUCAGGUUGUAGGGGGUGUCACGGACCCCCUAGCCGAAGACGGGUACGGGCUUUGGGAGAAGUCGCCCGGAGAUGGAUUCUGAGACACGAAUCCAGGUCCUACGGGACGCAGCAGGCGCGAAACCUCCACAAUGUGGGAAAUCACGAUGGGGGAACUCCAAGUGCCUACGCUUUAAGUGUAGGCUGUUCUCGAGCCUAAAAAGCUCGAGAAGUAAGGGCCGGGUAAGACGGGUGCCAGCCGCCGCGGUAAUACCCGCGGCCCGAGUGGUGCUCAUUAUUAUUGAGCCUAAAGCGUCCGUAGCUGGCCGGGCAAAUCUCCGGGUAAAUCGGGCAGCUCAACUGUCCGAAUUCCGGAGACACUGCUCGGCUUGGGAUCGGGAGAGGGUGAAGGUACUCCCUGGGUAGGGGUAAAAUCCUGUAAUCCGGGGGGGACCACCAGUGGCGAAGGCGUUCACCUAGAACGAAUCCGACAGUGAGGGACGAAGCCCUAGGGCGCAAACGGGAUUAGAUACCCCGGUAGUCUAGGGUGUAAACGCUGCAGACUUGGUGUUGGGGGUCCUGCGUGGGCUGCCAGUGCCGGAGCGAAGGUGUUAAGUCUGCCGCUUGGGGAGUACGGUCGCAAGACUGAAACUUAAAGGAAUUGGCGGGAGAGCACCGCAACGGGAGGAGCGUGCGGUUCAAUUGGAUUCAACGCCGGAA
RNAcentral lists this ribosomal RNA (918 nucleotides) under uncultured archaeon. Its description in RNAcentral is "bacterial SSU rRNA". It matches the Rfam family "Archaeal small subunit ribosomal RNA", at positions 1 to 923 of the family's 1478-position model. The record is from RNAcentral.